This 892-nucleotide ribosomal RNA is filed under the name uncultured archaeon. RNAcentral's name for it is "bacterial SSU rRNA". It matches the Rfam family "Archaeal small subunit ribosomal RNA", at positions 20 to 919 of the family's 1478-position model. The record is from RNAcentral.
UACCUGACUGCUAUCGGAUUGAUACUAAGCCAUGUGAGUCAUUGUAGCAAUACAAGGCAUACAGCUCAGUAACACGUAGUCAAUCUGCCCUAUGGACGUGGAUAACCUCGGGAAACUGAGAAUAAUCCGCGAUAGAUCAUAAUGCCUGGAACGGUUUAUGGUCCAAAUGAUUCGUCGCCAUAGGAUGGGACUGCGGCCUAUCAGCUUGUUGGUGAGGUAAUGGCCCACCAAGGCUAUUACAGGUACGGGCUCUGAGAGGAGAAGCCCGGAGAUGGGUACUGAGACACGGACCCAGGCCCUAUGGGGCGCAGCAGGCGAGAAACCUUUGCAAUGUGCGCAAGCACGACAAGGUUAAUCCGAGUGUUUCCUGCUAAAGGAAUCUUUUGUUAGUUCUAAAACCACUGAUGAAUAAGGGGUGGGCAAGUUCUGGUGUCAGCCGCCGCGGUAAAACCAGCACCUCAAGUGGUCAGGAGGAUUAUUGGGCCUAAAGCAUCCGUAGCCGGUUCUGUAAGUUUCCGGUUAAAUCCACUAGCUCAACUAAUGGGCUGCCGGAAAUACUGCAGAACUAGGGAGUGGGAGAGGUAGACGGUACUCGGGAGGAAAGGGUAAAAUCCUUUGAUCUCUUGAUGACCACCUGUGGCGAAGGCGGUCUACCAGAACACGUUCGACGGUGAGGGAUGAAAGCUGGGGGAGCAAACCGGAUUAGAUACCCGGGUAGUCCCAGCUGUAAACGAUGCAGACUCGGUGAUGCACUGGCUUUUGGCCAGUGCAGUGCCGCAGGGAAGCCGUUAAGUUUGCCGCCUGGGAAGUACGUACGCAAGUAUGAAACUUAAAGGAAUUGGCGGGGGAGCACCACAAGGGGUGAAGCCUGCGGUUCAAUUGGAUUCACGCC